UGCGUAGGCGGGUCUUUAAGUCAGGGGUGAAAUCCUGGAGCUCAACUCCAGAACUGCCUUUGAUACUGAAGAUCUUGAGUUCGGGAGAGGUGAGUGGAACUGCGAGUGUAGAGGUGAAAUUCGUAGAUAUUCGCAAGAACACCAGUGGCGAAGGCGGCUCACUGGCCCGAUACUGACGCUGAGGCACGAAAGCGGUGGGGAGCAAACA
This 208-nucleotide ribosomal RNA is filed under the name uncultured bacterium. RNAcentral describes it as "partial 16S ribosomal RNA". It matches the Rfam family "Bacterial small subunit ribosomal RNA", at positions 568 to 774 of the family's 1533-position model. The record is from RNAcentral.